RNAcentral lists this non-coding RNA (31 nucleotides) under Homo sapiens (human). Lineage: Eukaryota; Metazoa; Chordata; Mammalia; Primates; Hominidae. The record is from RNAcentral.
UCCACGAGCUGGAUUUGCAGAAAUAACUGCC